Molecule: ribosomal RNA, 478 nt
Filed under: uncultured bacterium
Lineage: Bacteria
Description: partial 16S ribosomal RNA
Rfam family: Bacterial small subunit ribosomal RNA
Source: RNAcentral
GACGAACGCUGGCGGCGUGCUUAACACAUGCAAGUCGAACGGUAAGGCCCUUCGGGGUACACGAGUGGCGAACGGGUGAGUAACACGUGGGUGAUCUGCCCUGCACUUCGGGAUAAGCCUGGGAAACUGGGUCUAAUACCGGAUAGGACCACUGCCUGCAUGGGUGGUGGUGGAAAGCUUUUGCGGUGUGGGAUGGGCCCGCGGCCUAUCAGCUUGUUGGUGGGGUGAUGGCCUACCAAGGCGACGACGGGUAGCCGGCCUGAGAGGGUGACCGGCCACGCUGGGACUGAGAUACGGCCCAGACUCCUACGGGAGGCAGCAGGGGGGAAUAUUGCACAGUGGGCGCAAGCCUGAUGCAGCGACGCCGCGUGAGGGAUGACGGCCUUCGGGUUGUAAACCUCUUUCAGCACCGACGAAGCGCAAGUGACGGUAGGUGCAGAAGAAGGACCGGCCAACUACGUGCCAGCAGCCGCGGUAA